This 399-nucleotide ribosomal RNA is filed under the name Triticum aestivum (bread wheat). RNAcentral's name for it is "partial small subunit ribosomal RNA". Lineage: Eukaryota; Viridiplantae; Streptophyta; Magnoliopsida; Poales; Poaceae. The record is from RNAcentral.
AUGGCGACCAGGUGCUUCUUCCCCAGGGACGCGGUGGCCGGACGGCACCAGUCCAAGGCGGCAGAGCAGGCCCUCGAGCAGCUGCACCACGGCGGCCGCGUCCUGUCCCGAGAGGAAGUGGGCGGCGCGGUGCGCGUCAAGAUCGUUGUCAGCAAGCGCGAGCUCAAGAAGAUGGUGGCCGCCCUCGGCACCGGCGGCGAGGUGGCGGCCGCAGCGGCGUCUGCUGAUCGCCGCAGCCGCCAGCGCGCGGCGGGCGGCGGCGGCAGCACGGACGCCGAGCAGAGGCUGCAGUCGCUCCGGCGGCGCAGCAUGCGCAGGGCGGCCGAGGAGACGAGGCGGAUGCAGGCGAGCGGGGAGUGGGAGCCCGGCCUCCAGAGCAUCCCCGAGGAGGUUUACUGA